RNAcentral lists this ribosomal RNA (440 nucleotides) under uncultured bacterium. Its description in RNAcentral is "partial 16S ribosomal RNA". It matches the Rfam family "Bacterial small subunit ribosomal RNA", at positions 338 to 795 of the family's 1533-position model. The record is from RNAcentral.
CCUACGGGAGGCAGCAGUGGGGGAUAUUGCACAAUGGGGGAAACCCUGAUGCAGCGACGCCGCGUGAGCGAUGAAGUAUUUCGGUAUGUAAAGCUCUAUCAGCAGGGAAGAAAAUGACGGUACCCACAGAGGAAGCACCGGCUAACUCCGUGCCAGCAGCCGCGGUAAUACGGGGGGUGCAAGCGUUGUCCGGAAUCAUUGGGCGUAAAGAGUUCGUAGGUGGCACGUUAAGUCUGGUGUUAAAGGCGGAAGCUCAACUUCCGUAGGGCACUGGAUACUGGCGAGCUUGAAUGCGGUAGAGGUAAAGGGAAUUCCUGGUGUAGCGGUGAAAUGCGUAGAUAUCAGGAGGAACAUCGGUGGCGUAAGCGCUUUACUGGGCCGUAAUUGACACUGAGGAACGAAAGCCGGGGUAGCAAAUGGGAUUAGAUACCCGUGUAGUC